CCUACGGGAGGCAGCAGUGGGGAAUAUUGCACAAUGGGCGCAAGCCUGAUGCAGCGACGCCGCGUGAGGGAUGACGGCCUUCGGGUUGUAAACCUCUUUCAGUAGGGAAGAAGCGAAAGUGACGGUACCUGCAGAAGAAGCGCCGGCUAACUACGUGCCAGCAGCCGCGGUAAUACGUAGGGCGCAAGCGUUAUCCGGAAUUAUUGGGCGUAAAGAGCUCGUAGGCGGUUUGUCGCGUCUGCCGUGAAAGUCCGGGGCUCAACUCCGGAUCUGCGGUGGGUACGGGCAGACUAGAGUGAUGUAGGGGAGACUGGAAUUCCUGGUGUAGCGGUGAAAUGCGCAGAUAUCAGGAGGAACACCGAUGGCGAAGGCAGGUCUCUGGGCAUUAACUGACGCUGAGGAGCGAAAGCAUGGGGAGCGAACAGGAUUAGAUACCCUGGUAGUCCAUGCCGUAAACGUUGGGCACUAGGUGUGGGGGACAUUCCACGUUUUCCGCGCCGUAGCUAACGCAUUAAGUGCCCCGCCUGGGGAGUACGGCCGCAAGGCUAAAACNCAAUGAAUUGACGCGNGAGACGUGCGACGACGACGACGAGGGAGAGG
RNAcentral lists this ribosomal RNA (600 nucleotides) under uncultured bacterium. RNAcentral describes it as "bacterial SSU rRNA". It matches the Rfam family "Bacterial small subunit ribosomal RNA", at positions 338 to 950 of the family's 1533-position model. The record is from RNAcentral.